GGCUCGGUCGCCCGGCGGGGACGCUGCCGCGCUCUACCCUCCCUCCCCGCAGCGGGCGGGGCCGUGGGCGCCCGUCCCCCGCCCCGGCCCAGCCGCCGGGCCCUCAGACCCUCCUGCCGACAACAGGCGCCCGCGGCCCGCGCCCCGCAGCCGCCCGCGGCCCCGGGGGAGCCCGUUCCCCUCCGCCGCGGGGUGCCCCGCUCCGGGAUGUUCUCCAGGAAGGGCCACGCCGAUGUCAGGAAAUCCACCCAGAAGGCGCUGGACCCCAAGCGGGACGUGCUCACCCGCCUCAAGCACCUGCGGGCACUGCUGGAUAAUGUGGAUGGAAGUGACCUGAAGCAAUUUUUUGAGAGCAAUUAUUCUCAGAUUUAUUUUAUAUUCUAUGAAAACUUCAUAACACUGGAAAAUAGCUUGAAACAAAAAGGGAAUAAAUCACAAAGGGAGGAGCUGGACUCCAUUCUCUUUCUUUUUGAAAAAAUAUUGCAGCUACUACCUGAGAGGAUUUUUUAUCGAUGGCAUUUUCGCAGUAUAGGGUCAAUUCUGAAGAAACUUUUGCACACUGGAAAUUCUCUCAAGAUAAGAUGUGAAGGAAUCCGACUGUUUCUCCUCUGGCUUCAAGCACUUCAGACUAACUGUGCAGAGGAACAGAUAUUAAUAUUUGCAUGCCUUGUGCCUGGUUUUCCACCCAUUAUGUCCUCACGAGGUCCCUGUACACUAGAUAACCUCAUUAGUCCUCCUAAUUCACCAGACGCUAAGAUUUUUCCAGAAGAAAUAACCCCACUUUUGCCAGCUGUCUCUGGAGAGAAGAUUGCUGAAGACCAAACCUGCUAUUUUCUUCAGCUACUGUUAAAAUAUAUGGUAAUUCAGGCUGCAAGCUUAGAGUGGAAGAACAAGGAGAACCAAGACACUGGGUUUAAGUUUCUCUUUACCUUGUUUAGAAAAUACUAUCUUCCUCACGUAUUUCCAUCUUUUACAAAGCUAACCAACCUCUACAAACCUGUUCUUGAUAUUCCUGAUGUAAGACCAAGACCAGUGUAUAUUACUGCAACCCGAAACAAUGAAAGUGUCUAUAGCACAAAAAUCCCAUACAUGGCAGCUCGAGUUGUUUUUAUUAAGUGGCUCGUUACCUUCUUUCUUGAAAAGAAAUAUUUAACUGCUGUUCAGAAUACAAAAAAUGGAGGAGAAAUGCUCCCUAAAAUUAUUCAGACUGUUGGUGUUGUGAACCAAGACAAAAAUGCAGAGCUGGAAACCAGUAUGCCUUACACAAGCGAGCAGGAGAGAAGCCAUUCCAACAGCAGCACCUUGUCUGACAGAAGGCUCAGCAGCUCCAGCCUCUGCAGCGUCGAUGAGCAGCACCGCACUGUCUACGAGAUGGUGCAGAGGAUCCUCCUGUCCACUCGAGGAUAUGUUAACUUUGUUAAUGAGGUGUUUCGACAGGCUUUUUUAUUGCCACCUUCUGAUAUAUCUGCAACACGAAAAGUGGUUAAGGUAUAUCGGAAGUGGAUAUUGCAAGAGAAACCUGUGUUCAUGGAGGAGCCAGACAAGAAGGAAGACAGUCAGGAUGCUGUUGUCAACUUAGAGGAUUCAUCAGUGCAAAUGGAUGGUAAACAUCUUUCCUCUGACCAUUCAGGACAUAAGCGCUCCUCCAGCUGGGGAAGAACGUACUCCUUCACCAGUGCUGUUAACAGAGGAUGUAUAUUGGAAGAUGAAGAUAAAAAUGUUAAAGCUGGUGCUCAAGCAGCUUUACAGGUAUUCUUGACAAACUCUGCAAAUGUUUUCUUACUGGAACCGUGCCUUGAAGUCCCUGUGCUUCUGAAGGAGCAAGUUGAUGCUUGCAAAGCAGUUCUGAGCAUCUUUAGGCGCAUGAUAAUGGAACUAUCAAUGAAUAAAAAGACGUGGGAACAGAUGUUACAGAUACUCCUUAGAAUAACAGAAGCUGUGAUGCAGAAGCCAAAAGAAAACCAAAUAAACGAUACCUUCGCUCAAAGCAUGUCAGGAUUACUUUUCCGAACCCUCAUUGUAGCCUGGAUCAGAGCAAACCUGAGCGUUUACAUUUCUCGGGAGCUGUGGGAUGAGCUGCUCAGUGUUCUGUCUGCCCUGACAGACUGGGAGGAGCUCAUAAACGAGUGGGCCAAUAUCAUGGACUCUCUAACAGCAGUGCUAGCAAGAACUGUGUAUGGGGUGGAAAUGACAAACUUACCCUUGGAUAAGCUCAGUGAACAAAAAGAAAAAAAGCAGAGGGGAAAAGGUGGCAUUUUAGAGCCUCAGAAAACAGCUGUAGUGGGAAGAUCUUUUUCAUUAAGCUGGAAGAGUCAUCCUGAAGUUGUGGAGCCAAUGAGAUUCAGAAGUGCUACAACCUCUGGAGCCCCAGGAGUUGAGAAAGCAAGAAAUAUUGUUCGUCAAAGAGCAACAGCUAAGCGGAGCCAGUCUAUCACCAACUGUGCUCAUCUUUAUGAGGCUUUGCCAGCUACUAAAAGUGUACCUCUUCUGCUUCACACUGUGAGCUCUCUCUUACCUGGUAUCUCUUACACUUCUUGCUCUCACAGACUGUCAGAAGUUGAAGAAUCUCAACAACUGGAAAAUUCGACAGGAACAGAAGCUACAGGCCUGUUUGCAGACCAAGAGCAGCAGCUAACCCGAAGUAGCAGCACUUCAGAUAUUGCAGAUCAGUUUCCAUCUGAUUUUUUUCAAGUUCUACUUUUGCUCCUACAAUGUAAAAAGGCAGGGAGUUCUCAUAAUUUAACUUCUUCAGACUCCAGAUCACUACAGGAAAAUAAGGGAUAUACAAAGAAGGAACAUGAAGCUGAGCAAGUACUGAUGCAAAGAAGCAGUAGUACAGCUGAAUUAGAUUUGAAAGCAGACUUGCAGCAAGCACAUGGAAAUUAUAGAGAGAGAGAAAAAAGUGAAAGUGUCAGCAGUGACACAUCUGUUGGCUACAACAAUGAAGUGGAGAUUGCACUUAUCCCCUGGCAAGCUUCCGAAGAAGACCAUGAAGUGACUACGUCGGCUGAUGUUUGUGUGGAUCCUGAUGCGCCUCGCUGGCUUCAGCUUAGUCCCUCAGACACUGCAAAUUUAACAGACAGUAGUGAAUUCCUUGCUGAUGACUGCAGUAUAAUUGCUGGUGGAAGCCUUAUCGGUUGGCACCCUGAUUCUGCUGCAGUGUUAUGGAGGAGGAUCUUGGGAAUUCUCGGAGAUGUGAACAAUAUACAGUCACCUAAAAUCCAUGCAAAAGUUUUUGGGUAUCUUUAUGAGUUGUGGUUUAAACUUGCAAAGAUACGGGACAACCUGGCUAUAAGUGUGGACAAUCAGUCUACCCCCUCUCCUCCUGUCUUAAUUCCUCCUCUCAGAAUUUUUGCUUCAUGGUUGUUCAAGGCAACCACCCUGCCAGAUGAGUAUAAGGAAGGCAAACUUCAAGCAUACAGGCUGAUCUGUGCUAUGAUGACCAGGCGCCAAGAUGUUCUACCAAAUUCUGAUUUCCUGGUUCAUUUUUAUUUUGUGAUGCACCUUGGAUUAACAAGUGAAGACCAGGAUAUUUUAAAUACUGUCAUAAAGCACUGCCCGCCUUGGUUUUUCUUCCUGGGCUUACCUGGCUUCACGAUGCUGAUUGGAGACUUCAUCUCAGCGGCAGCCAGGGUGCUGAGCACAGACCUGCUGGAGGCUCCCCGCUCAGAAGCUCACACCAUCCUUGGUUCUCUAGUUUGCUUUCCAAAUAUCUAUCAAGAAAUCCCUCUCUUGCGGCCCAUUUCAGAAGCAGGAGAUAUCAUCGCGGGAACAUCAGACGUGAAGUGCUACCUCAUAAAUAUUUUAUUGAAGAACGCUACAGAGGAGCCAAGUGAAGCUGCAAGGUGCAUAGCCAUUUGUGGCCUUGGAGUUUGGAUAUGUGAAGAGCUAACACAGUGCACAAACCACCCCCAAGUGAAGGAGGCCAUCAAUGUCAUAGGUGUGACGCUGAAGUUUUCUAAUAAACUGGUGGCUCAGGUAGCCUGUGAUGUUCUUCAGCUGCUGGUUUCUUACUGGCAAAAGCUUCAGAAGUAUGAACCCUCUCUGUCCAGAAAAAUUACUGAAAUCCUUGUGGCCACCAUUGCAUUUCUUUUGCCGAGUGCUGAAUACUCCUCUGUGGAAGCAGAUAAAAAGUUUAUAGUUUCACUGCUGCUCUGCUUGUUGGACUGGUGUAUGGCAUUACCCAUGAAAAUGCUAUUGGAGCCAGUGUCUGCUGGUGUUCUUGAAGAUCAACAUGCAUCCAAAGCUCCUUUACUGGACUAUAUUUACAGAGUUCUGCACUGCUGUGUGAAUGGCUCCAGCACGUAUACCCAGCAAAGCCAUUACGUGCUCAGCCUGGCAGAUCUCUCCUCUAGUGAUUACGACCCGUUUUUGCCACUGGGAAAUGUCAAGAGCUCUGAGCCAGCCCAGUGCCACUCUUCCACGGAUCUGGGCAACUUGCUUACUGUGGCUGAGGAAAAGAGGAGGAGAAAUUUGGAAUUGAUACCUUUAACAGCACGGAUGGUUAUGACUCACUUGGUGAAUCACCUGAGCCACUACCCUCUCAGCGGAGGCCCUGCCAUUCUCCACAGUCUCCUUAGCGAGAACCAUGACAACUCCUAUGUGGAGUCCUCGGAGCUGUCCUCAGAGGUCUUCCGGAGUCCCAACCUGCAGCUCUUUGUGUUUAAUGACAGUACUCUGAUAUCUUACCUCCAAAUCCCUGCAGAGAAGAAGACAGACACUGAGCCAGCAGCAGCCCCCUCGAAUGUGAGGGUAAUUGUCAGAGACAUCUCAGGGAAGUACUCGUGGGAUGGCAGGAUAUUGUAUGGACCUUUGGAGGGCUGCCUCCCACGGCAGAGUGCAGCGAAUGCAUUUGUGUUCUCAGGCAACCCUGAGCACCACCUCAUUUCCCAGAAAGAUGUGGCUCAGGUGGAAGAAGGAGAAGACGCUCUCGACCAGUUGCUGGAAAAGAUCGGUAACACCAGUCCCGAGUGCCUUUUCCAUCCGCAGCGGAAGCUGAAUGAGCCAUCACCCCCACCCUUUGGUAUGAGCUGUGACCAAGAGAGUGCCAUCACUGAAGCCCUGAUGAGGCAGAGCGCCCAGGAAAGAGAGUAUAUAUUUAAGUGCAGCUCAGACUCCAGUAUGAAGGUGGCCUGUCAAGAAGAACCACGUCCUGCUGAACCUCAAGCGUCCUUUUAUUUCUGUCGGCUGUUGCUAAAUGACUUGGGAAUGAACUCCUGGGAUAGAAGAAAAAGCUUUCAUCUUCUUAAGAAAAAUUCAAAACUACUGAGAGAACUGAAAAAUCUGGAUUCCCGCCAAUGCCGUGAAACCCACAAGAUUGCAGUGUUUUACAUUGCAGAAGGACAAGAGGACAAGUGUUCAAUACUUUCCAAUGAAAGGGGAAGCCAGGCCUAUGAAGAUUUUGUUGCUGGACUGGGCUGGGAGGUUGAUCUUUCAACACAUGGUGGGUUCAUGGGCGGCCUGCAGCGCAAUGGCAGCACAGGACUGACAGCGCCCUAUUAUGCUACCUCUACUGUGGAAAUCAUUUUUCAUGUGUCCACAAGAAUGCCAUCAGAUUCAGACGAUUCACUGACCAAAAAGCUUCGUCACUUGGGAAAUGAUGAGGUUCACAUCGUCUGGUCUGAACACACCAGGAACUACCGCCGAGGCAUUAUACCCACAGAUUUUGGAGAUGUUUUAAUUGUUAUUUAUCCAAUGAAGAAUCACAUGUUUUUCAUAGAGAUAAUGAAGAAACCAGAGGUGCCAUUUUUUGGUCCUCUCUUUGAUGGAGCAAUCGUGACUGCAAAGCUGCUGCCAAGCCUCAUAUGUGCCACGUGCAUCAAUGCCAGCAGAGCCGUCAAGUCGCUCAUCCCACUCUACCAGAGCUUUUAUGAGGAAAGAGCUCUGUAUCUCGAAGCAAUAAUCCAGAACCAUAAAGAAGUAAUGACAUUUGAGGAUUUUGCUGCUCAGGUCUUUUCUCCUUCUCCCAGCUACUCCCUCGGUGGAACUGAUUAGAAUAUGUAACGGUCUCGUUACGGUAAUUGCCGCAGUCAAUUGCCUUGAAGUCUCAGUCUGGCUGCCUCCCUGCAAGCGCAAGCGCUGACCUUACUGUCGCCAUAGGAAUCGAGCUGGCAGAGCCGCCCUCGCCCACGCUGCCACGUGCCUCCAAGAGCAGAGUCUCUGGGAAGCUUCGCCGCUCCGCCAGUGCUCUCAGCAAGUCUUCCAACUGAGGUGCUGCAGGAGCUCAACUCCGGCCAAGACCUUCCAAUAAAUACGUUAUUUACUGCAAUUUUGGAUGAGCACGUGUCGAAGGAGACAGGAGGGGGGGGUUUGCUCUGUAGCACUGCAGUUCUGCAGGCAGACAGACCUGGCUGGUGCUCUCAUGUCCCCUGUGGUAUCCUCUUACCUUUCACUCCAUCAUUUCUGUCACAAGGAGAAGGAUGGGAGCUCUCACUGCUGAGGUGGCAUCGGCAGCCUCAGCACCUGCGCACAAGUACUGGUGUCACAGCAAAAGGACACAGGCCAGUACUGAAACCAGUUAUGUCAUGUAACUUUAGAGCAUUGUGUUUAGUCAUUCCGGCCAGCACUUAAUUGUCUUGUUAGGGAAUUUCGUCUCAAUAGAGGUUUUCAUGACGACCAUGUAACAAAUGUCCCCUUCCUGGAGACCGGGUGAGUGAUGGAGGUGCUCUGCAGUCUGUGUUCAGCCUUGCUCCCCAUCCAUAGUCUGUGGCCGUCCAGCACCAGUUCUGUGCAUGUAGCAAAGGAUUAGUAGUCAUCAGGUCACUGACCUGAGAUCCAGGAGGGAACUGCCUGUUCUGCAGAGUUCCAGCAUUUGCAUUGAAAUCUGUGUAACCACGGUCACCUGUCACUGCCUGUUGUGUACAAGCCUGAAGCUGAAGGUGCUCAGCAGCCAUCAGGUGCCACCUGUGGCAGAGCUGUGAUCACUGGGGAGCUGCAUCCUGGGCAGGCAGGAGGUACCCGUUAGCAGCUCCUGUGCCAGCCAGGUUUUACCUUCACAUCUUUGUGCUUACUCUAGACAGAAACCCUCUUUCCCAGCACUACCUUUGGCUUCAGGAUAUAGUGCAUGUGAUGGCUCUGUACUGUGAACUACUCAUUAGCAAAAUAAAAAUAACCAAGUUCCUUUUUGAAGAGCAAAUGCUGCACAUUUGCCAUGACUACUUCUCACCAGGGUUUGAAUAAUUAGACCUCUUAGGUAACCACCUCACCUUGUCACAGCACCAAGGAAAUAGCCUGCAACUUGAAGCAUCUCUAGUUAGAAUAAAAUAAACCUGAAGGCUGUGGAUGACGUGCAAUGUCCUCCUGGCACCCUGUGUAGUAAGCAAAGCGUGUGUUUUCAGUAGAAAAUGUAUUUCUGUCUAGGUGUAUCAUAGGUUUAUAGCUAAAAAACCCUGUAUUGUAAAAACAAACCUGAGAGACCUCUGCAACCACUCGCUGUGAAGGGGGAUGGCCAGACCCAAGGCAGAAAUCAGUCACUGCUCCACCAUGAAGGGACUCGUGGGACACACUGUGCCCAGCAGAGUGUGAGCUUCCUCCUACAACUGCUGCAGGACAUACUGGGGCUGAGGCUGGGCCCCCUGGCCAGCCUGGGCGUCCCUGGCCCGCCUGGAACACACAGCAGGACGAGGAGACAGCUGUAAAGCAAAUAAUACUGUGUUACCUUUAUUUUUUUGAUGUUUUGAGUAUCAGCAUCUGCCCAUCCUCUACUGUUGCAUCAGACCUCUCUGGCCUUCCUAAGCCUUCUCAGGUCCAGGUCACUUUCUGUUCCGUUUUUGUUUGGUUUGCUACUCAGAGUUCAAAUGCACAGCUUUGCAUGUGGUGGGAUUGAGUUGAAAGGGAGCAAAAUGCACCACUGGGCCACCAUGUUUUUUGCACUUCUACUUCUGUGUUGAUGUGCCCACGCCCAGCCCUGUGACUGCCCGGAAAAUCCCAGACAAUUGUGUCAAUACUGCCUGGAGGCAGCUCCAGGUUUGGCCGUGGGCUCUGAGGGGGUUCCUUGGCGUGGGGGCUGCCAGCUUAGCCCACAGUGCCCCUAGGCACCGGGGCUGGAGCCACUGGCACUGACCAUGGACCUGCUGGGACAUGGGCACAAUGUGGCUGACCUGCUGGGAAGAGCCUGAUUUGUGAAGGGGUUUUACUUUGAUUCUUUGCCUCACGUUUUGUUUUUUUGCUUUCUACUGAUUGUGUGUCGGUAAAGGAAAUUAGAAAAUAAAACGUAUUUUAAUUUAUUUUCUUUUCAGGACCAGAUAGGCGAGGCCAUCUUGUUCUUAAUUAUCCAAUAAAAUGGUCUGAAAUUAUUUCAAAGACAUUCUUCUGAAUAAAAGGAGACUUUUCUUGCUAGAGCAAUAUGCAUCUAUAAUUCAGGGAAGAAUUAAAACACUGAUGAUGUAAAAAACACUGAUGUAAAAAAAAAACACCCUAAAAUAUUAAUUUGUAAAAAUUCACCUGUGGUUUUGUACUGUGAACUGGACAACAAAGCUGUUCUGUCACCCCUCCCAAACUUAAUAAAUCUUAGCUGACAGCAGAAUCCUUAAAA
RNA transcript from Apus apus (common swift), 8533 nucleotides. It is a transcript of the gene named Ral GTPase activating protein catalytic subunit alpha 2, with no coding region annotated. The record is from RefSeq and is a predicted model, not a curated record. NCBI's taxonomy places the organism in Eukaryota, Metazoa, Chordata, Aves, Apodiformes, Apodidae. The transcript is spliced from 43 exons.